Molecule: ribosomal RNA, 410 nt
Filed under: uncultured bacterium
Lineage: Bacteria
Description: bacterial SSU rRNA
Rfam family: Bacterial small subunit ribosomal RNA
Source: RNAcentral
GACGAACGCUGGCGGCGUGCCUAACACAUGCAAGUCGAACGGAGUUCCUGAGAAUUGAAGCUUCGGCAGAUUUUUCUUGAACUUAGUGGCGGACGGGUGAGUAACGCGUGAGGAACCUGCCUUCCAGAGGGGGACGAACAGUUGGAACGACUGCUAAUACCGCAUAAUGCAUUUUUAUCGCAUGAUUUAAAUGCCAAAGAUUUUAUCGCUGGAAGAUGGCCUCGCGUCUGAUUAGCUAGUUGGUGGGGUAACGGCCCACCAAGGCGACGAUCAGUAGCCGGUCUGAGAGGAUGAACGGCCACAUUGGGACUGAGAUACGGCCCAGACUCCUACGGGAGGCAGCAGUGGGGAAUAUUGGGCAAUGGGGGAAACCCUGACCCAGCAACGCCGCGUGAAGGAAGAAGGCCUUC